GAGUUUGAUCCUGGCUCAGAGCGAACGCUGGCGGCAGGCUUAACACAUGCAAGUCGAGCGGGCGUAGCAAUACGUCAGCGGCAGACGGGUGAGUAACGCGUGGGAACGUACCUUUUGGUUCGGAACAACACAGGGAAACUUGUGCUAAUACCGGAUAAGCCCUUACGGGGAAAGAUUUAUCGCCGAAAGAUCGGCCCGCGUCUGAUUAGCUAGUUGGUGGGGUAACGGCCCACCAAGGCGACGAUCAGUAGCUGGUCUGAGAGGAUGAUCAGCCACAUUGGGACUGAGACACGGCCCAAACUCCUACGGGAGGCAGCAGUGGGGAAUAUUGGACAAUGGGGGCAACCCUGAUCCAGCCAUGCCGCGUGAGUGAUGAAGGCCCUAGGGUUGUAAAGCUCUUUUGUGCGGGAAGAUAAUGACGGUACCGCAAGAAUAAGCCCCGGCUAACUUCGUGCCAGCAGCCGCGGUAAUACGAAGGGGGCUAGCGUUGCUCGGAAUCACUGGGCGUAAAGGGUGCGUAGGCGGGUCUUUAAGUCAGGGGUGAAAUCCUGGAGCUCAACUCCAGAACUGCCUUUGAUACUGAGGAUCUUGAGUUCGGGAGAGGUGAGUGGAACUGCCAGUGUANAGGUGAAAAUUCGUAGAUAUUCNCAAGAACACCAGUGGCGAANGCGGCUCACUGGCCCGAUACUGACNCUGANGCACGA
Molecule: ribosomal RNA, 704 nt
Filed under: uncultured bacterium
Lineage: Bacteria
Description: bacterial SSU rRNA
Rfam family: Bacterial small subunit ribosomal RNA
Source: RNAcentral